Molecule: ribosomal RNA, 443 nt
Filed under: uncultured bacterium
Lineage: Bacteria
Description: partial 16S ribosomal RNA
Rfam family: Bacterial small subunit ribosomal RNA
Source: RNAcentral
CCUACGGGAGGCAGCAGUGGGGAAUAUUGGGCAAUGGGCGCAAGCCUGACCCAGCAACGCCGCGUGAGGGAAGAAGGCUUUCGGGUUGUAAAGUUCUUUUCUCAGGGAAGAAACAAGUGAUGGUACCUGAGGAAUAAGCCACGGCUAACUACGUGCCAGCAGCCGCGGUACUAAGUAGGUGGCAAGCGUGAUCCGGAAUUACUGGGUGUAAAGGGCGUGUAGGCGGGGACGCAAGUCAGAUGUGAAAACCAUGGGCUCAACCUGUGGCCUGCAUUUGAAACUGUGUAUCUUGAGUACUGGGGAGGCAGACGGAAUGCCUAGUGUAGCGGUGAAAUGCGUAGAUAUUAGGAGGAACACCAGUGGCGAAGGCGGUCUGCUGGACAGUAACUGACGCUGAGGCGCGAAAGCGUGGGGAGCAAACAGGAUUAGAUACCCCUGUAGUC